RNAcentral lists this ribosomal RNA (274 nucleotides) under uncultured bacterium. RNAcentral's name for it is "partial 16S ribosomal RNA". It matches the Rfam family "Bacterial small subunit ribosomal RNA", at positions 523 to 796 of the family's 1533-position model. The record is from RNAcentral.
AUACGGAGGGUGCAAGCGUUAUUCGGAAUCACUGGGCGUAAAGGACGCGUAGGCGGGUUGGCAAGUCAGAUGUGAAAUCCUACAGCUUAACUGUAGAACUGCAUUUGAAACUGCUAACCUAGAGUAUGGGAGGGGGAGAUGGAAUUAGUGGUGUAGGGGUAAAAUCCGUAGAUAUCACUAGGAAUACCGAAAGCGAAGGCGGUCUCCUGGAACAUAACUGACGCUAAGGCGUGAAAGCGUGGGGAGCAAACAGGAUUAGAAACCCCGGUAGUCC